AACGCGAAGAACCUUACCUGGUCUUGACAUCCCAGGAACCCUUCAGAGAUGAGGGGGUGCCUUCGGGAACCUGGAGACAGGUGCUGCAUGGCUGUCGUCAGCUCGUGUCGUGAGAUGUUGGGUUAAGUCCCGCAACGAGCGCAACCCUUGUCCGAUGUUACCAGCGGGUUAUGCCGGGGACUCGUCGGAGACUGCCGGGGUCAACUCGGAGGAAGGUGGGGAUGACGUCAAGUCAUCAUGCCCCUUACGUCCAGGGCUGCACACAUGCUACAAUGGCCGGUACAACGGGCUGCUAUCCCGCGAGGGGGAGCCAAUCCCAAAAGCCGGUCUCAGUUCGGAUUGCAGUCUGCAACUCGACUGCAUGAAGUCGGAGUCGCUAGUAAUCCCGGAUCAGCAACGCCGGGGUGAAUACGUUCCCGGGCCUUGUACACACCGACUGUAC
Molecule: ribosomal RNA, 442 nt
Filed under: uncultured bacterium
Lineage: Bacteria
Description: bacterial SSU rRNA
Rfam family: Bacterial small subunit ribosomal RNA
Source: RNAcentral